GAGUUUGAUCUUGGCUCAGAUUGAACGCUGGCGGCAGGCUUAACACAUGCAAGUCGAGCGGAGAUGAGGUGCUUGCACCUUAUCUUAGCGGCGGACGGGUGAGUAAUGCUUAGGAAUCUGCCUAUUAGUGGGGGCAACAUUCCGAAAGGGAUGCUAAUACCGCAUACGUCCUACGGGAGAAAGCAGGGGAUCUUCGGACCUUGCGCUAAUAGAUGAGCCUAAGUCGGAUUAGCUAGUUGGUGGGUAAAGGCCUACCAAGGCGACGAUCUGUAGCGGGUCUGAGAGGAUGAUCCGCCACACUGGGACUGAGACACGGCCCAGACUCCUACGGGAGGCAGCAGUGGGGAAUAUUGGAUAAUGGGGGGGAACCCUGAUCCAGCCAUGCCGCGUGUGUGAAGAAGGCCUUAUGGUUGUAAAGCACUUUAAGCGUGGAGGAGGCUACUGAGACUAAUACUCUUGGAUAGUGGACGUUACUCGCAGAAUAAGCACCGGCUAACUCUGUGCCAC
Molecule: ribosomal RNA, 507 nt
Filed under: uncultured microorganism
Description: bacterial SSU rRNA
Rfam family: Bacterial small subunit ribosomal RNA
Source: RNAcentral